This 1161-nucleotide long non-coding RNA is filed under the name Bos grunniens (domestic yak). RNAcentral describes it as "lncRNA (ENSBGRG00000017197.1)". The record is from RNAcentral. Lineage: Eukaryota; Metazoa; Chordata; Mammalia; Artiodactyla; Bovidae.
AUGGGGCGGGGCGGCCCGCGCUCCCAGGCCCCGCCCACCGCGCGGCCCCGCCCCAGAGGGUGCCAGUUUCCCACGCCCCGCCUGUUCCCCGCGCGCCUCAGGCCCUCUGGGUCUCCGGCUCGGCCAGCCCAGGUCCUGACACCGUGGCCCGGGCCGCUGGCAAGCCGGUCUGUCAGAGGCGCCCGGGAGGAAACGGGUCCCGCACCCCACCACUGGCCAUCAGACCCCGCGGCGACCCACAGUCCCGCGAGGGCCCCGGGGCCCCUCCGUCCGUCCCCGUUCCCUCGCACCUCACCGCGGGCUCUAAAGUACCCAGUCCCGGAGCAAGUCGGCUCCGGAUCCUGGCGUCCCGGGCGGGCCACGUGCGCCCGGCUGUCGCGCGCCCCGCCCCCGGGGAGGAGCCCGCCGGCUCCCGGCCACUCGGCCCGAGGCGCGGCGCCCGCAGCCUUCCCGGCGCCUCCCCGGCCGGCGCCCGCCCUCUGCUUCGCAGGCCCUUCCCGCCGCCCUCACCCGGCCCGCCCGUCUGUCUUUCCUGUCCGGCCGGCGGGGGCCGUGGGACCGUGUCACGCCCUUUUCAGAAAUUCUCGGCUGGUAAUCGCGAAGCCGACGCGGAACAAGAGCUCGGGGAACCUGGAGAAAACCGCUUCCAUCUGACUUGAUUCUGGCAGGAAGUGGGCUCCGUAUCGUAAUAACCAACAUUUGCCAAGCGCUCGUUGAUCCUUAACUCGGCCUUGUGAGGUCUGGAUAUUAGUAGUCCUUUUUGCAAAGGAAAACACGGAAUAAGGCUUAGAGAGGUCCUGUGAACUGCAUUUUUGAGGGGUUGUGGGCUCUGGAUUCUAACUACACAAUCUGCUGUAUUCCCCUCUGAUCCCUUCUCUUAAGACGAACUUUCCAUUGAGGGAACUUCGUUGGCCUUGAGUCUCCAGAGCCCUCUGCACAGCUGUCGCCUGGAUGGGGUACAGUCAGUGUCCAGAGUGAAUGUGUCCACCACAGUCUUGAUGCCCUCCUCUGCCUACAUUGUCCUUUUUCCUGUUUUCUUGGAGGUCCCCCAUUCCUGAGUUCUUUGAAAGGCUCAAUGUAUUCAGAGUCUCAAGAAACUUUCCUCCAAGGUCAGUCCAUUACCAGCACCCUCAUCCUCAUCCCUCCUUGCUGGGGAUGUGU